RNAcentral lists this ribosomal RNA (468 nucleotides) under uncultured bacterium. Its description in RNAcentral is "partial 16S ribosomal RNA". It matches the Rfam family "Bacterial small subunit ribosomal RNA", at positions 28 to 507 of the family's 1533-position model. The record is from RNAcentral.
GACGAACGCUGGCGGCGUGCUUAACACAUGCAAGUCGAACGGAAAGGCCCUGCUUUUGUGGGGUGCUCGAGUGGCGAACGGGUGAGUAACACGUGAGUAACCUGCCCUUGACUUUGGGAUAACUUCAGGAAACUGUGGCUAAUACCGGAUAGGAGCUACUGCUGCAUGGCAGGGGUUUGAAAGUUUCGGCGGUUGGGGAUGGACUCGCGGCUGAUCAGCUUGUUGGUGGGGAAGUGGCUUACCAAGGCUUUGACGGGUAGCCGGACUGAGAGGGUGACCGGCCACAUUGGGACUGGGGUGGGGGCCAGACGGCUACGGGAGGCAGCGGUGGGAAACUUUGCGAGCUGGGCCGAAGCAUGGUGGAAGAACGUCGGGUGCGAGAUGACGGCUUUAGGGUAGUAACGCGUGUUAGAGUGUGACGAAGCGUGAGUGGCGGUAAUGGGUAAGGAAGCGCCGGCUAACUACGUG